UAAGAAUUUCAUGAAUUCAUCCUUUUUUA
RNAcentral lists this non-coding RNA (29 nucleotides) under Mus musculus (house mouse). The record is from RNAcentral. Lineage: Eukaryota; Metazoa; Chordata; Mammalia; Rodentia; Muridae.